UACAGAGGGAGCAAGCGUUGUUCGGAAUUACUGGGCGUAAAGGGCGCGUAGGCGGUCUUGCAAGUCCUGUGUGAAAUCCCUCGGCUCAACUGAGGAACUGCACGGGAAACUGCGAGGCUUGAGUUCGGGAGAGGGAAGCGGAAUUCCGGGUGUAGCGGUGAAAUGCGUAGAUAUCCGGAGGAACACCGGUGGCGAAGGCGGCUUCCUGGACCGACACUGACGCUGAGGCGCGAAAGCUAGGGGAGCAAACGGG
This 253-nucleotide ribosomal RNA is filed under the name uncultured bacterium. Its description in RNAcentral is "partial 16S ribosomal RNA". It matches the Rfam family "Bacterial small subunit ribosomal RNA", at positions 524 to 776 of the family's 1533-position model. The record is from RNAcentral. RNAcentral also lists the same sequence under 1 other name.